RNAcentral lists this ribosomal RNA (397 nucleotides) under uncultured bacterium. RNAcentral describes it as "partial 16S ribosomal RNA". It matches the Rfam family "Bacterial small subunit ribosomal RNA", at positions 523 to 918 of the family's 1533-position model. The record is from RNAcentral.
AUACGUAGGGGGCGAGCGUUGUCCGGAAUGAUUGGGCGUAAAGGGCGCGUAGGCGGCCCGGUAAGUCUGGAGUGAAAGUCCUGUUUUUAAGAUGGGAAUUGCUUUGGAUACUGUCGGGCUUGAGUGCCGGAGAGGUAAGUGGAAUUCCCCGUGUAGCGGUGAAAUGCGUAGAGAUUGGGAGGAACACCAGUGGCGAAGGCGACUUACUGGACUGUAACUGACGCUGAGGCGCGAAAGUGUGGGGAGCAAACAGGAUUAGAUACCCUGGUAGUCCACACUGUAAACGAUGAAUGCUAGGUGUAAGAGGUAUCGACCCCUUUUGUGCCGGAGUCAACACAAUAAGCAUUCCGCCUGGGGAGUACGGCCGCAAGGUUGAAACUCAAAUGAAUUGGCGGGG